This 318-nucleotide long non-coding RNA is filed under the name Chinchilla lanigera (long-tailed chinchilla). RNAcentral's name for it is "lncRNA (ENSCLAG00000023654.1)". The record is from RNAcentral. Lineage: Eukaryota; Metazoa; Chordata; Mammalia; Rodentia; Chinchillidae.
UGUAUGCUGUAGAUUUUCCAAUUUUACUAUAAAUCACUCUGUUCUUGGUAGGGAAAACUCUUAGUGAAAGCAAGCAAUCAAGCAAGCAAGCAAGAAAGAAAGAAAGAGAGAGAAAGGGCGAUAGCUUUGCAAGUGGAUUUCAUAUGAUAGAGACAUUUUUGGAGGAAGGUUUCUAUUGUGUGGUUUUUCAAACAAAGUAGAGUUUAUUUAUGGUGUGACUGAUUGAACACUACUGAACUAGUCCAUCAUCUGCUAAUUUGGUCCAAUUAAAAAUUGGUCAUCAGAAAAAACCUGGGAAUUAAACUAAUUUUGAAGUAC